UCGAUAUCACCUAUUGUAGAAAUUUACUCACCGAUUAAUCUAUAAGCCUUUGCUUAGUCUUUUACUAUAUUGCACAUUCAAUUAAUUCCCAGUGCAGAUACCUGGCAAAACAGUGCUGCAACACCUAGUAUCAACCAGUGACUGAUGCAUCAUGCAUCUGAUAACCUAACUUACGUGACACCAGGGCAGGUUCGUCACAAACAGGUGGUGCAAUACCCAGUAUCAACCAGUGACUGCUGCCUCUGAUAACCUAACUUGGGA
Molecule: long non-coding RNA, 261 nt
Filed under: Panax ginseng (ginseng)
Lineage: Eukaryota; Viridiplantae; Streptophyta; Magnoliopsida; Apiales; Araliaceae
Description: long non-coding RNA (PGIN_LNC009449)
Source: RNAcentral